AUUGAACGCUGGCGGCAGGCCUAACACAUGCAAGUCGAACGAGUGGCGGACGGGUGAGUAAUGUCUGGGAAACUGCCCGAUGGAGGGGGUUAACUCCGGGAAACGGUAGCUAAUCCCGCAUACCAUGGGAUGUGCCCAGAUGGGAUUAGCUGGUGGGUGGGGUAACGGCUCACCAGGGCGACGAUCCCUAGCUGGUCUGAGAGGAUGACCAGCCACACUGGAACUGAGACACGGUCCAGACUCCUACGGGAGGCAGCAGUGGGGAAUAUUGCACAAUGGGCGCAAGCCUGAUGCAGCCAUGCCGCGUGUAUGAAGAAGGCCUUCGGGUUGUAAAGUACUUUCAGCGAGGAGGCGUUACUCGCAGAAGAAGCACCGGCUAACUCCGUGCCAGCCGCCGCGGUAAUAC
RNAcentral lists this ribosomal RNA (406 nucleotides) under uncultured bacterium. RNAcentral describes it as "partial 16S ribosomal RNA". It matches the Rfam family "Bacterial small subunit ribosomal RNA", at positions 30 to 526 of the family's 1533-position model. The record is from RNAcentral.